CCGGGCGCACGGGUGAGUAACACGUAUGGAACCUGCCCUAUGCAGGGGGAUAAGCGGAAGAAAUUCCGUCUAAUACCGCAUAACACCUUUAGGAGACAUCUUCUUGGGGGUCAAAGGAGGCGACUCCGGCAUAGGAUGGCCAUGCGUCGCAUUAGCUAGUCGGCGGGGUAACGGCCCACCGAGGCGACGAUGCGUAGGGGUUCUGAGAGGAAGGUCCCCCACACUGGUACUGAGACACGGACCAGACUCCUACGGAAGGCAGCAG
RNAcentral lists this ribosomal RNA (265 nucleotides) under uncultured bacterium. RNAcentral's name for it is "partial 16S ribosomal RNA". It matches the Rfam family "Bacterial small subunit ribosomal RNA", at positions 94 to 354 of the family's 1533-position model. The record is from RNAcentral.